UUCCAAUCAAGGGAGCCGAUGCACAUGAUAAGGGUGUGCAGAGUAGAAGGAGGGUGUUGCGGUGGUGGUAAUGUGACCGGGGGGAGGGGGGUUGGCUUGGCAGCAGGAGGAGUUGAUGAAGAAACGUUGAGGAUGGGUGCGUUGAAGAAGUGUAGAUAAUGGUGGAAGAAAGAGAAAAAUGUGGAGAUAGUUAAUGGUGAGAGAAAUAGGAAGAGAGAGAAAAAAGUGUCAGGAAGUGCAGAAGAGAGAGAAGUAAAGUACAGUCAAGUUAACGUCGUUUCUACCUAUUUAACGGAAGGGACCUAAUAACAGCAAAAUUAAUAAUCUAGGAACCAAAUAACAUCAUUUUUAAAAGCGGGUACAAAAUAGAAAUCCAGCCCCCAACUUGGGGACUAAAAGGGUAAUUAAGCCUUAAAAUUAACAUUAAUUUAUAUUUUACAAGGUUAAAUUUAAUUAAAAUUGUACUAUAUGAAGUAUACCGAUCGAAAUUAAUUGUCAUUUAUAGACAAUUAACAGGUAUUAAUAGGUUAGAUUGCCUUACUCUUUACAAAAUAUACGGUAUUGAUGAUUGAUUAUUGGGUUUGAUUGCCUAAAAAUAUACAACAUUAAUGGUUAAUAUACCGUAGGCCCUAUAAAUAUACAAUUAAGGUAUAGGUACAAUCAUCCUCUUCUAUCCUAAUAAAAUAUAGACCUCUUUAUGAAACAUAUCUUGAGCAUCAAAGUGUCUUCUGCAUGUCAACAACCCAUCGGAAUGGAUGACAUUCUCGGAAAGGAUUGAAGAUCAAAAGAGAACAAAGCAAAGAAGGAUGACUG
Molecule: long non-coding RNA, 813 nt
Filed under: Vigna radiata
Lineage: Eukaryota; Viridiplantae; Streptophyta; Magnoliopsida; Fabales; Fabaceae
Description: long non-coding RNA (VRAD_LNC010556)
Source: RNAcentral